RNAcentral lists this ribosomal RNA (492 nucleotides) under uncultured bacterium. Its description in RNAcentral is "partial 16S ribosomal RNA". It matches the Rfam family "Bacterial small subunit ribosomal RNA", at positions 29 to 507 of the family's 1533-position model. The record is from RNAcentral.
AGUGAACGCUGGCGGUAGGCCUAACACAUGCAAGUCGAACGGCAGCACAGUAAGAGUUUGCUCUUACGGGUGGCGAGUGGCGGACGGGUGAGGAAUACAUCGGAAUCUACUUUUUCGGGGGGGAUAACGUAGGGAAACUUACGAUAAUACCGCAUACGACCUACGGGUGAAAGCAGGGGAUCUUCGGACCUUGCGCGAUUGAAUGAGCGGAUGUCGGAUUAGCUAGUUGGCGGGGUAAAGGCCCACCAAGGCGACGAUCCGUAGCUGGUCUGAGAGGAUGAUAAGCCACACGGGAACGGAGACACGGUCCAUACUCCUACGGGAGGGAGCAGUGGGGAAUGUUGGACAAUGGGCGCAAGCCUGAUCCAGCCAUACCGCGUGGGUGAAGAAGGCCUUCGGGUUGUAAAGCCCUUUUGUUGGGAAAGAAAAGCAGCAGGUUGAUACCCCGCUGGUCUGACGGUACCCAAAGAAUAAGCACCGGCUAACUUCGUG